Molecule: unclassified non-coding RNA, 367 nt
Filed under: Hevea brasiliensis (rubber tree)
Lineage: Eukaryota; Viridiplantae; Streptophyta; Magnoliopsida; Malpighiales; Euphorbiaceae
Source: RNAcentral
CGGGCAUGUAUUUAUAGAUCAAAGCUCUUCUAGUCCUCUCAUAGCAAAACCCUAAAAGAGUAACUAUAUUUACAUGGGAAGUUCUACUAAUGCUUCCAACUUCAUUAAUGAAUUCUUCCCCCUCACCUGUAGACUUGCUUAGAACUUUUAUGGCCACAAAGCGACCAUCUGGUAAUUUUCCUUUGUAUACACCUCCAAAUCCUCCUUCACCUAGCUUAUGGAUGAAUGAGUUGGUCAUUUUCUUUAUAUCUGCGUAUGAAUAUCGCUUUGGCAUGAGAGAAGGAUAGUUCAUAAUAAAUGCCUCUAUCUUUUCAUCUUCUUUACUAUUUUCCCACAACAAUGUCUUUACUUUGUCACUGCAAAAUCC